Molecule: long non-coding RNA, 572 nt
Organism: Epinephelus fuscoguttatus (brown-marbled grouper)
Lineage: Eukaryota; Metazoa; Chordata; Actinopteri; Perciformes; Serranidae
Exons: 3
Source: RefSeq, a predicted model, not a curated record
UUCUUAACUUUGCGGGUCAGCAGUGUAUAUUUUGCACUCUGAACGUAGAGGCUACUUCUGGACAUCUACUUCAGAAGCAUCUUAGGGAAGCUGUCUAUUUUGUUGAUGGAGACACAGGUAUCUUAAAAUGAUCAAAGACGAAACACUGUAUGUUGUCUUUUUUAUGCGAGUUAAAGCAAAUUUGUAAAUUACUAUUAUUCCUCAUUUACAUUUUUGUUUCUACAGAAAAAUUUGUGGUGGCAUGCUAUUGCCAGGAAGCAAAACAAACUCAUCGAAGCCACAUUCAUUGUCCAUUGUGCAACUACAGAGUGUUUUCUCGAACUGCAAUCUUCAAGAAACAUCUUCAAGAUUGUCAUGGGCUGGCAUCUUUCAAGAAAAAAGCCACCAAAGAGGAUGACACCAAGACACCUGCUAAUGUACCACAAGCAAAGGUUUCACUGAAGGGUAGACCUAUUCACUGCACGUAUUGCAGCUCAAUCUUUUCCUCCCAUUCCAAUUUGAGACGCCAUAUUCGUGAUAUUCACAACCGUCUUACAACACCAAUGAUGUGUAUAGACCCCACAAAUGGAAUC